Myotis myotis is the source of this 1307-nucleotide long non-coding RNA. RefSeq lists it as uncharacterized. The transcript has 3 exons. The record is from RefSeq and is a predicted model, not a curated record. NCBI's taxonomy places the organism in Eukaryota, Metazoa, Chordata, Mammalia, Chiroptera, Vespertilionidae.
GCCCUCAGGAAUCCGUGAUCCUCAGGGGUGUGUGGCUCUGAGGACUGAGACAGCCACUGGCGGGAGGGUGGGGCAGGCACAAAUGCUGCAGGGCACGGCAGUUUGGACGCCUGCUCUCCGAUUCUCCAGAGCUGGGACAUCUGCACUGUUUUUCAUCUUUUAAUCCCAGCUGUUAUCAGCUGCUGGGAAAUAGUUGAGCCCAAUCUCCAAGCUGGGAGAGGCUUCUUCUAAAUUCCACCAGGAGAACAAAGAGUUCCAAAAGAAUGACACAGCUGCCCAGACUGGCAGCCGGGCGGCCAGCCAGUAGGGCCAGGCUGGGAGGAAGGCAUGUGAAUGGGCCAGAGGGUGGGCACAGAGGCGAGCCAGGGACCAGCCCGGGCUCUGUGGAGUCGGGGUGGGGACCGGGGGCAUCUUCUCUUCACGGCCUUUGUGUUGGGAAACUCGGCAGCCUCCUGGUGGCGUGAAGUUCCGGGUCCAAGCCCACGGACGUCAGGCGGAAGGUGUGGCUGUGUCUCUGCCGGGUGGCCAGAGCUCAGAGUGGUUGAUGUGCCAUUUGUUGCUGCCCCAAACCUCCUGACCAUCCUCUUCACUUCUGGAUGCUUCCCCAUAGCGUACACCCAGCCUUGCCACACUGAUGACAAACUUUGCUGCUCUCUUGGGGCUGGGCAUAGACUUACAUCCCACCUGUCACCUGUGCUUCAGAGCUGAGGACGGGACAGGGCGCAUUCUUCAGCCAGCUGGAUUGGAUUCUGUUGUCUGCAACUAUGAAUCCUGACAAGCUCCUCCAACGACCCCCUGGCCGAGUUUCCAGCUCUCCUGCUGCAGGCAUACAUGGGUUAUGCAGGGAAAGGACACAGACCCAUUCACGGAGACGUGGCUCUAAGAAGCCUUUCUUUACGAGGAGAAAACAGUGCAAGCCCCAGCGAACCUCACGGGCAUGCAUUUUCAUCCUGUGCCCAGGGAAGAGCACCCCCCCAGCAGGUGUAAGGAACAAGGGAGACAGAAAUAAAGAUGGCAGCUGCUUCGCUCUCAUGACUCCGCUUAUUUCAUGAACUGGAUAUGGCGGGCACACGCUGGCUAUUCCCUCUGAACCGCUGAGCCGGAGCAAGUGGUCUGGUCUAUGUACAAGAGCCGGAGGCCCUCGUGCUGGAAUUUGCUAGCCCUUCCAGCCACAUAUGAGACUGCAGUUCCAGCAUCUCCCUAGUGAGGAGAAGAAAGCUAAAAAGGAGUUUCUGCCCAGCCUGUUGUCGUUAUAGAUGACAAAUCAAAAGGGCAUUGGGAAUUACCAUUUGGACAUGGUGUUUUUU